Molecule: non-coding RNA, 524 nt
Organism: Lactuca sativa (garden lettuce)
Lineage: Eukaryota; Viridiplantae; Streptophyta; Magnoliopsida; Asterales; Asteraceae
Source: RefSeq, a predicted model, not a curated record
UCACUCCAAGCUCCCUCCCCUGUGAGAUUUUCGCUCAAACAAAGGCAGGUACCGGCGAUGCCUCCGGUCUCUAGCGACUUGUGAAUCCCAAAUUUACCGGCGGUAUCCCUCUUCUCCGACGAUUUCCUCUCAUAAAAGGACAAAAAAUAUUCUCGUUUUCGAUGAUGUGUACACUCCUGAAGUGAAAAUGAUUCAAGCUGGGUUAUGAAGGUGGUGUUAGAUGGCUAUUUCAUUUUUGGUCGUUGGUUUUACCGUUUUGCCCUUGAAGUGUACCUCUGUUGGAUUUGCAGAUUUGCCCCUCCCCCCACUUACUCACUAUCUCAUAACCACACCCAAAGAAUUUUUAUUGCUUUACAUAUGAGGUCUUAUAAAAACAAGUGCUUAACUACAAAGUCUUAUGAAUUUGAGUAUGUGUGACUUUGUGUGUAACUUUUUAUGCAUCUAAUAGCAACUUCCUUAAAAGCCGAUUAUAAUGUAUAACAGGUCUGAACAUUUGUGUAUACCACAUUACCACUUAACUUCAA